AUUGAACGCUGGCGGCAUGCCUUACACAUGCAAGUCGAACGGCAGCACGGGAGCAAUCCUGGUGGCGAGUGGCGAACGGGUGAGUAAUAUAUCGGAACGUGCCCAGUCGUGGGGGAUAACGUAGCGAAAGCUACGCUAAUACCGCAUACGAUCUAUGGAUGAAAGCGGGGGAUCGCAAGACCUCGCGCGAUUGGAGCGGCCGAUAUCAGAUUAGGUAGUUGGUGAGGUAAAGGACUCACCAAGCCGACGAUCUGUAGCUGGUCUGAGAGAACGACCAGCCACACUGGGACUGAGACACGGCCCA
This 304-nucleotide ribosomal RNA is filed under the name uncultured bacterium. Its description in RNAcentral is "bacterial SSU rRNA". It matches the Rfam family "Bacterial small subunit ribosomal RNA", at positions 30 to 333 of the family's 1533-position model. The record is from RNAcentral.